GAGACUGAAAGCAACCGCGGCUGCCCGGAGGGCCGAACUGGAGGGUGGGCGCAGCCUUGGCUGCCUUGGGAACCGUGCUGCCUCGACUCGGCUACUCCUCGCUGGGCGGUCGUGCGCACUCGCUAGGUCGGGCAGCCCCGGGUCGCUUAGCGGCCGAGGAGGCGCCAGAGCUCCCGUUCCCCUGCAGAGCUACGGGGACCGGAAGGCGAAACAGAGCUGGAGCACAUGCUGCCCACCAGUGGAGCACAGGUACAGAAAGAGCGCGCGAUUGCCCGGCGCGGAGAGGGGUGGGGGAAGCGCCGCCAGGACUGGGCGGCGCCCGGCUUGGAGAAUCAGUAACUGCGAGGCAGGGGAUGGAGCACUCCCUUGGCCUGGUUGCGCUGAGGAAGGAGUUGUGGUUCAUCUGGAUGCUGCCGACUGGAUAGGAUUUAGGAUUUGCCUGGAUUAAGGUCAUCAAAGCCGAAUCCGAACUUGAAUUCUGUGCGGCGGAUUGCAGAGAUGUCUUCAGGCCCUGAGGACUGGGAUCUGCGACCCCCAGUGAACAAAAGUCGGCCGUACCCCAGAGGCUAAUUUUCUCACGGCAGCACCUGUUGCAGAGGCUGCAAGUAAAAUAAAGGCGAACGCUAGUUUCCGAGCUCAUGAGCUGACACAUACAGAGGAGAGGUCAAAAGAGGUCCCUGGAGAACACAGUGAUGCUUCUGAGCCACAGCAAGGAUCUAGCCCAGCCCUAAAUGAGUCCUUAACUGUAUUCAGAGUCUGGUAAUGGGAAUAACAGGAGAGGGGGGUGGGUUUCUAACUGCAUGAAUUAAUCCACAAAGCAGUUUUCCUUUGGGAAGGAGAAGAGGUCUUGCAUACCAGCACAGUGGAUGGGGAAUGGUGUGACCUCUGUCCCUGCUCUCUUCUCUGCUGGCUCAAGGGUCUAUUCUCCAUGUGUCUGUUUCUUUGAUGACUUUAUACUUUUUAUGAAAGGAGCAUCUUUUCAUUAAACCUUCAAAAAUGAAGGAAGAUACAAAAACUAAAGUACAAAUUACCUGAAACUCAGCACCCUUUUGUAACCAUUGUCAGCCCUUUGGUGAAUGUCCUUCCAGGUAUCUCCCUGUACCUGUGUACCCAGAUAGAUAUAUGUAUAGUUAAGAGUGAUCAAAUAUAAGUGCUGUUCUAUACUGUGUAUUUUUCACCAAAUAAUAUAUCUCGUGGACUUCUAUGUCGAUGAAUAUAUAUAAAUAUCUAA
RNAcentral lists this small RNA (1231 nucleotides) under Pongo abelii (Sumatran orangutan). RNAcentral describes it as "processed transcript". The record is from RNAcentral. Lineage: Eukaryota; Metazoa; Chordata; Mammalia; Primates; Hominidae.